UAUUAAUAUUAUGGCUGCCUAAUAAAAAAUGUGAUGUAAAGCAGAGGGCAGCUACGUCUACAUGUGCUUGCUGAUGAGGAACAGUACACAUAAAUGGUGACAGAUCCCAGAAUAAGAAAAUAUACAGAGGAAGCUGCAGCCAAUAUAUAUUCAACAUGUUACAUAAGUGAGAAACAGAUGUUUGUGGUUAUAAGUCACUGAGUUUUGGGAGCUAUUUGUUAUCACAGCAUAACUUAGUGAGAGCUGACUAAUGCAGAAGACUGGCAGAAGUUAGAAAGAUGGAUAAGGCCAAGUGUUGGUGGAGAUGUUCCCACAUACAGGAAUUUUACCAUUGCUGAUGGAGUCACUGUGUCAUUACUGCAGCCUUUUUGGAAAGCAUCUGUCACUACUUAGCCAAUUAAGAAAAUGCAUAUUCUAUAACCCAGCAAUUAUACCUCUGGGCAUGCUUGCAAUAUUUCUCCACCAAAUAUGAUGAUGGUUCCAGGUUUUCUAUAGAUACCAUUUAUCCAGAAGCAUUUGGCCUGAGAAGAUACCACACCCUCUCCAUCGUUUUCAUAAGAAUUGCCUACCAUCUACAGAUGAACCCACCCAAGCAAAGCCAGCAUGCUCUGCAUAGGAAGCCUGAGAUGAUGGAGUCCACAUGCUGUUUAUUUAGUCAUCAUAGCUUUAUGACUUGAAAAUGUUGACAGAGACAUGCAUCUACCAGUCACCAUGGCAGGGAUUCAAUAGCCCACUGUGCCACAGAGGGCAUGCCUUGGAUGUAGAGAGUGAAGACUUUCCACAACUUGUGAAUGAGCCCUCUGUGAGUUUAGCCAAAACAUUCAUGUCAAAGAAAUGGAAAUCUCAAAUAAAACCCAUCGCAGGCCAAGCUCAGGAGGGCUGGCUAGCCAACAAAUCCUGAACAAGGGGGUUCAAGGGAAAAGGAAAACAUGUGUUUCAUAGGCAUGUAUGAAAAUAAUCUUUUCUUCUAUAGCUUUUGAAAUGAGGAUAAUGAAAUAUCAGUUGGUCUUUGAGGAUGAUGAAAGGAAUAUUUUUUGUAAGUUAUAAAACAAUAGCGUCUGCCUUUAGCAAGUAAUCUCAAGAGAGUCACUUUCAGAGUCCAGACUGGAAGAACACUUAACUUCAAAAUAGCUCUUUACAAAUACUAAUCAGAUGGUCCACAAAACUCUCUGCCAUAUGAAAGUUAUCUUAACCCAAGUAGGGAAGUCACAGAUAGCUGUAAAUAUCUGUGUGCCUAGCUCUGUGUUAGAAGCAAUGGUGAAUGUGUGUGUGUGGGAUGGGGUGGAGUCAGUGGGUAUGUGUAGGUGUGUUGGUGGGUGGAGAAAGGCUGCAUUCAUUUAGGUGCAGGAAAAGGCUUUUUUUUUUUUCUGACCAAUUAGGUUUUUGACUGAAUGGACCAAACUGACUGUUGUGGUGUCAUGGAAACCUAGCCAUGGAAACCUUAUAGAAAUAUCAGGAGCUGAAGGGAGGGAGUGUUGAAGAAAGCAUCACAGAGAGAUUGCUACCAACUGAUUCCCAUAGAUACUAUAAAAAUAACUCCUUUUAUCUUCCCAUUUUCAGUGAGAGAAUCUCGCUAUUUGGAAAAUCAUGCUUGCUAUUCUGCAGCUUUUCUGUACAGAUAACUAAUAAACAACUUGGAAAACACUCA
Molecule: long non-coding RNA, 1648 nt
Organism: Homo sapiens (human)
Lineage: Eukaryota; Metazoa; Chordata; Mammalia; Primates; Hominidae
Exons: 5
Source: RefSeq, a predicted model, not a curated record